AAGUCGUAACAAGGUUUCCGUAGGUGAACCUGCGGAAUGAUCAUUAACACGUAUCCAAACGUUAAAACCCCCCCCGUGAACCUUCAUCCUGCUCUUGUGUUGUAGUGAUUCAGAGACCUCUGGCUACGUGCGAACAUUGGAACAGUUACAAUCGAGCGGUAGUUCUAUAGGCAAUGUUUCCCCAAACAGUCAGUGUCGGAAAGUGUCAUUGAUUGUGCAAGGAUAGCGCUUCUACGAUUUCGUGUAGACCGUACACUCGGGCAGGAGCUUUGCCAAAGGGUCCCCAUGCCCCCUAAUAACCCCACAGUUUAAUGUGAAGCUCAAUGUAAUACAUUGGGUAAAAAAACCGAACAACUGUUAACAAUGGAUAUCUUGGUUCUC
This 381-nucleotide unclassified non-coding RNA is filed under the name fungal sp. RNAcentral describes it as "partial internal transcribed spacer region". The stretch from base 1 to 46 matches the Rfam family "Eukaryotic small subunit ribosomal RNA", at positions 1786 to 1831 of the family's 1831-position model. Lineage: Eukaryota; Fungi. The record is from RNAcentral.